UACGUAGGGUCCGAGCGUUGUCGGGAAUUACUGGGCGUAAAGAGCUCGUAGGUGGUUUGUCGCGUUGUCCGUGAAAACUCACAGCUUAACUGUGGGCGUGCGGGCGAUACGGGCAGACUGGAGUACUGCAGGGGAGACUGGAAUUCCUGGUGUAGCGGUGGAAUGCGCAGAUAUCAGGAGGAACACCGGUGGCGAAGGCGGGUCUCUGGGCAGUAACUGACGCUGAGGAGCGAAAGCGUGGGGAGCGAACAGG
Molecule: ribosomal RNA, 253 nt
Filed under: uncultured bacterium
Lineage: Bacteria
Description: partial 16S ribosomal RNA
Rfam family: Bacterial small subunit ribosomal RNA
Source: RNAcentral